CUGAAGUGGACACUGGCAGGCUUGGCCAGCAAGUCUUUUCUCUCCCACCUCCCAACUGCUAAGUUCCUCUUUCCUGUUACUGUGUUAGCUCUUAGUGCAAAACCUGUCCAGCCUUUAGGAGGCAUCAGUCUAGUCUAGGCUGCUACUUUGCAAGUGAUUAUAGGGACUACUGCCUGGUGGAAGCCCAGAUUUCAUGGUGUAUCUUUGAAGAACAGGCUUUCUAAUAUUUGUAAAACAUUUGCACAUCGCUUACAAAUAUUUGCUGCUCUUGCAAACAUGUAUGAACUUGGCUUUAUAACAGCCAGUAAGUUACUGAGUUGUGCUGGAACUGGAGAAAACAGAGUUCAGUUCUUUCUUCUACUAUUGCUGGCUUGGAUGACCUGGGGUAAGUCCUGUAAUGUCCAAGACUGAGAAAAGACUGUUUUGGUACCUUACUAUUGCAAUAGACCCUGGCAGCUGAGCUUAGGCCUCUAAAAACCAUUUAUAACUUGUAUGGAGAAUGAUCUCCCUCAGAACAGAUCCACAAUACCAAUUCCACUCUUUUUGUGCUUAGCACAAAGUGGCUUAGCAAGUAGGGGGUUUACUCCAAGAUUAGAGAUUUG
Molecule: long non-coding RNA, 602 nt
Filed under: Numida meleagris (helmeted guineafowl)
Lineage: Eukaryota; Metazoa; Chordata; Aves; Galliformes; Numididae
Description: lncRNA (ENSNMEG00000020067.1)
Source: RNAcentral